RNAcentral lists this ribosomal RNA (1501 nucleotides) under Klebsiella aerogenes. RNAcentral's name for it is "bacterial SSU rRNA". It matches the Rfam family "Bacterial small subunit ribosomal RNA". Lineage: Bacteria; Pseudomonadati; Pseudomonadota; Gammaproteobacteria; Enterobacterales; Enterobacteriaceae. The record is from RNAcentral.
AGAGUUUGAUCCUGGCUCAGAUUGAACGCUGGCGGCAGGCCUAACACAUGCAAGUCGAGCGGUAACACAGAGAGCUUGCUCUCGGGUGACGAGCGGCGGACGGGUGAGUAAUGUCUGGGAAACUGCCUGAUGGAGGGGGAUAACUACUGGAAACGGUAGCUAAUACCGCAUAACGUCGCAAGACCAAAGUGGGGGACCUUCGGGCCUCAUGCCAUCAGAUGUGCCCAGAUGGGAUUAGCUAGUAGGUGGGGUAAUGGCUCACCUAGGCGACGAUCCCUAGCUGGUCUGAGAGGAUGACCAGCCACACUGGAACUGAGACACGGUCCAGACUCCUACGGGAGGCAGCAGUGGGGAAUAUUGCACAAUGGGCGCAAGCCUGAUGCAGCCAUGCCGCGUGUAUGAAGAAGGCCUUCGGGUUGUAAAGUACUUUCAGCGAGGAGGAAGGCGUUAAGGUUAAUAACCUUAGCGAUUGACGUUACUCGCAGAAGAAGCACCGGCUAACUCCGUGCCAGCAGCCGCGGUAAUACGGAGGGUGCAAGCGUUAAUCGGAAUUACUGGGCGUAAAGCGCACGCAGGCGGUCUGUCAAGUCGGAUGUGAAAUCCCCGGGCUCAACCUGGGAACUGCAUUCGAAACUGGCAGGCUAGAGUCUUGUAGAGGGGGGUAGAAUUCCAGGUGUAGCGGUGAAAUGCGUAGAGAUCUGGAGGAAUACCGGUGGCGAAGGCGGCCCCCUGGACAAAGACUGACGCUCAGGUGCGAAAGCGUGGGGAGCAAACAGGAUUAGAUACCCUGGUAGUCCACGCCGUAAACGAUGUCGACUUGGAGGUUGUGCCCUUGAGGCGUGGCUUCCGGAGCUAACGCGUUAAGUCGACCGCCUGGGGAGUACGGCCGCAAGGUUAAAACUCAAAUGAAUUGACGGGGGCCCGCACAAGCGGUGGAGCAUGUGGUUUAAUUCGAUGCAACGCGAAGAACCUUACCUACUCUUGACAUCCAGAGAACUUAGCAGAGAUGCUUUGGUGCCUUCGGGAACUCUGAGACAGGUGCUGCAUGGCUGUCGUCAGCUCGUGUUGUGAAAUGUUGGGUUAAGUCCCGCAACGAGCGCAACCCUUAUCCUUUGUUGCCAGCGGUCCGGCCGGGAACUCAAAGGAGACUGCCAGUGAUAAACUGGAGGAAGGUGGGGAUGACGUCAAGUCAUCAUGGUCCUUACGAGUAGGGCUACACACGUGCUACAAUGGCAUAUACAAAGAGAAGCGACCUCGCGAGAGCAAGCGGACCUCAUAAAGUAUGUCGUAGUCCGGAUUGGAGUCUGCAACUCGACUCCAUGAAGUCGGAAUCGCUAGUAAUCGUAGAUCAGAAUGCUACGGUGAAUACGUUCCCGGGCCUUGUACACACCGCCCGUCACACCAUGGGAGUGGGUUGCAAAAGAAGUAGGUAGCUUAACCUUCGGGAGGGCGCUUACCACUUUGUGAUUCAUGACUGGGGUGAAGUCGUAACAAGGUAGCC